ACUAUAUAUGACGGAUUGAAUGGUGAGAUAUUAACUAACUAGUUAGCUAGGAACUAGUUGGUAAAAUAUUUUUAUAAAUAAUUAAAUUAUUUUUGUUGACUAGUCAUUCUCUGCCUUCAUUGUUGAUGCAUCAAUCUUCUCUUCCUUUCACCAGCUAGCAUCGAGCCUACCGCCUUAAAGGGGGACCUCCUAUCUUGUUCCUCCUAUCUUGUUCCUCCUAUCUUUUGGAAAUCUUACCUUGAAAAACAACUCUAGUGACAGAAUGAUGCCUAUUCCAACCCGCAUAUCAAAUGACAGAACGACUGACUGUCUCUCUCACCACAAGAACGAGGACGGCAAGGGGCUGUAAGCAAUCCCAAGAAGAUGGUGCGAACUUCUCCCAUCAAGACCUUUUCUACCGCAGAAAUAUGAGAAACAGUCCACCUAGGUUGAAUAGCAGAAGAUAGUAGAAAGGGAUAAUAAUAGUAAUGAUAUUAGUAGAUAGCAAGUAGGUAGUAGCUAAUCACUAAGAGCAGAAAGAGAAGAGAAGAGGAAAGAAGAUGCGCGAAGUACAGGACAUGUGUAUAUAUAUGUAUAUACAUAGAAACAGUGGUAGUGAGAACAUAGUAACAAAAGAAAAGAAUAAAUGAAG
RNAcentral lists this small RNA (631 nucleotides) under Histoplasma capsulatum. RNAcentral's name for it is "hypothetical RNA". Lineage: Eukaryota; Fungi; Ascomycota; Eurotiomycetes; Onygenales; Ajellomycetaceae. The record is from RNAcentral. RNAcentral also lists the same sequence under 1 other name.